AGCCUCACUUAUCAGCUGGGUCUGUUGACUAACACGACGGUUGACGUUGAUAUAAUUUCAGGAACUUUUGAUAAAAUACGAAUUAACCUAACGUAACUGUAAAUGUGAUAUGGUGGUUAGGAUAUCGUUAAAUAGAUUAAAAGUGUGUUGUUUACUUCUAAAAUAACGGGUCAGCUUCAAGUUGGUAGUAUUGUGAUAACACUGGCCAUGCGCACUGUCACUGUCACAAGUGGUUAGUUGUCACUCACAGGUGUUGAUAAGUGGUACAAGUUCCUCGAUCUGUGAAAUGUUUAAUCACAAUCUAUACCGACCACAUUACUUGUCUGAAUAACUAAGUCAACCAUCAACCUGAUAAAUGAUGUUCAAGUUUUGCAGAAGCGUGUUGGGUGUGGUGUGUGUGUAUGUAGUGUGGCUGUCAGGAGGGACCAGCGCUGACUCCCCACAAUCUUGCAAGUUACUAUUUAAAAAUGGAUCCGAAAUAAAUCUCAUGAUGGUCGCUGCCUCACCACAAGACGCUCCUAGGUUUAAAGACUGCAAAUCUAAAAACUCAUCAGAUAAUAGUUUAUAUUACUACAAUCCCUGUUACUCGUACGUCUACCCUCCAGAUGGCCAAGGGAUGUCAUGCAGUAAUAAUGUUGCCGUAAGAAUCUUUGAAUAGUGUGUCAUGGCACUGUACGUGGUUAUUUCAACAUUGGAACUCAAGAUUCUGGCAAAUUCUUCUUUGACAAUAAGACUCAGAUGUGGGUGAUUUCAUACUACAGCCGCAACUAUGAAAAACAGACAAAUGUCAGUUUAAAAUGCACUGAUUCACUGAAUCAUACACUGGAAGUUAACGGGCAGACACAGGGACAGGACAGACGUAUAGUAUAUACAAUGACUUUAUCUUCACGCUGUGCAUGUGUUGAUGGCUGCGGCACCCCUAUUCUCCCACAUGGCAUGUCCUUGGGGUCCUUUUUGCUGCUGCUGCUGCUGAUUUUUAUUGUCACCUAUCUGCUUAUAGGUUAUAUAUACCGUCGCUUUGUAAUAGGGGCACAAGGAAUAGAACUCCUGCCACAUCUUAGCUUUUGGAUGGCAUUUCCACUUCUUGUUCAGGAUGGUUUUCUCUUCCUCGUUAAAUGUGGACAAAAUGACGACACUUAUGAAAGAAUAUGAGGGAGAUGUUCCUGGAGGUGCUUGGUUCCCUGAGGGCACCUUACAGUGGUGACUGUUCCUUAUAAUGAGGACUUGGUGACUGCAUCCAACAGAGGGAAUAAGGUUGUACAUAAUUCUUAAGUGACUCUUGCCUUCCUGCUUUUGAUGAGCUGAAAGAGGAAUGCCUUGUGAUAAUUAGCCUAAUGCAUUCCAUUAUAAUGAGAUUUUUAUCCAUUUUAUAAAUGUACAUUUAGAAGGUGAACUUUGUGGUAUUAUAUUACUCAGGGAUCACUAUAUACAGUAUCUAUGUCAUAUUAAGAAGUCCUAUGGUAAAAGGGUAACUUUAUUGAAAGACAUGACUGUACCAGAAGUCUCUUAUGAUUAUUUUAAAACUUGCUGCCAAUUUUUUACCUUUAUUCCUUAGGUCAGAGGUUUAAGAUUAUUGUACAUAUACUGUAUAUUUUUUUUACCCCAUUUUUUCUUUAGUAAGUAAGUGGUCUUCCUUUGAUAUCAAAACUUUUUUUAUUGGCAAAUAUACAAUAUAAUUUUAAGUUAAAGUUUAGCAAGGUAGAUUCCUAAAAUAGAUUCAUACUAUGGUCAUGAUAAGUGUUUGAAUGUUACCUUUAAAUUGUUUCUAGUGUUCCAUGACUACUUUAAUCUCCAUGACCUUCUCAGGAUUUUCAAUGACUGUGAAAACACUGUCUUUAACAUAACCCCUGAAACUGGUUCGUUUUCUUUUUGGACUCUACAAAUGUACCUACUGGGUAAAUUUCUCAAAAGACCUCACAUUUAUACACCUGUAGACAAUAACAUUCAGUAGAGUACUUCCUCGUACCCUUAACUAACAUAUUUAAUAUACAAAGACAAUCAGAGAUACUGCAUUCUUUCUCUAACACUUCAUAUACUGUUACUGUGAUAACAUUACUGAUAUCACAUACAAAAUAAAUCUCCGUCAACAAUCGUGUAUUCAUUGGGUUUUAUCUGAUUUGAAACUUCUAGACCCAAUUCACCUAAUCUGUUCAUCUCUUUCUCAGUCAUUCUAUUAUUCUUGUACCUUCAAUUGUGAUGUCACAUUUUUUCUUACUAAUCUCUCCUGACUUAUUCUCCAUAUACUGUAUACUGUAUCAGAUUUAAAAAAUUUCCUGUUUAAAUUAAUCUUAAUGGGAAGUUGAGAAACUUUCAACCGCCUCAAGUAAUUACUUCAUAAAGAUGGCAACAAAAUUGGUAAUACAAAAUUCAUGUAAUUGCCCAAAAUUACAAAAUAGCUCACAUACCAGAACAGAAAUGGAGAAUACAUCUAAAUGACUCAUAUAUGCUACAACAUAAAGAUGGCAGCCAAAAUAGUAUAUGAACUACCUUGGGUCCUCCUUAACUACAGUUUCAGGGAGAGAGAGAGAGAUAGAGAUAUUAUGGAACUCUUUGAAGAUUUUAUAUCUAACUUUGACAUUAGUAAACAAUUACCAUAAUGGACUGGAGAAAAUAAACACAAAUUGAAGAAUUGAUGGACAUAUAUUCAGAUCCUGCUUAUUACACUAAUACAAAGCUUAAAAUUAAAUUGCACUAUAAGAUGUGGCCAAACACAAGAACAUUUAAAUUUUGAGAUUACAUUGUGACAUAGAUUCAGCGGAUUCCAUGGUGAAACAUUAUUGUAAUGAGUUCUUAAUUACAGUAAUACUGCAUACUGUAACUGAAAGAUAAAUGCUGAGAGAAAGGGGGAGAAAUCUAUUGGUAUAACUAUUAAUACUACCUGAAGAAUCUCACUUCAAUACACUAAGGCAUAGUGAAGAUUUCCACUACUGUAAUAAAUAACACAUUUAAGAAUUUCCCCUAUCAUUAUUUAACAUGAAUAAAUAACAUUAAAUUGUUUGUCCUUAUAAAGUUAACACUGAGAUAUUGACAAGUGCCUGAGUUGUGCAAUAGAACAAUAUUGUGCCAUAUCAGCAGGUUCAAUGUUCUACAGUGUUACAGUACUUGACUUAUAAUGAUCUCUCAUGUUACUUGAAGGAAUGUUUUGUUAUGGGACCUGAGAUGCACUUUAACUCCUAUCCUAUAAGUUUACAUCCUCUCAGAGGUUAGUACAUGAUAAAGACGAUGAUGAUAUUUUGAUAAGUACGAUGAUGAUGAUAUUUUUUCAGUUUCACUAAAACUGCUUAAGCUAAUUUUAUUAUACACAGAUCUUUGAAUGCUGCAUAAGAAAAUUUGAUUGAUUUGACGAGCUGGUGUUUCUGUAUUUGUUUCAAUUUACAUCAAUUUCUUGUUUGACUGAAUUAUGUACUGUACAUUACAUUUAUUAAAGCUUACGUAUUUUAAAACACUUAACAAAUACACAACAAAAAACGUCAAGAAUUUCCUUUGUUCUACUCAUUCACAUAAAGACUAUGGAAAUUAUUUAAGCACUGAUCUCCUUCUUACACAUUAAUACAUGUACACAUAGAGUAUACCACCUAAAAACUUAAUACUGUAUUCAAAUUUGGUUGAUAUUAAGCCGAAUCCCAACUGGCAGCACAUAAAGAAUAUGCCAACACACAAUAGCCAACAAAGGAUUUAAAUGUGAUAACUGCCACACUGUAUUUCCCCCUACAAAACAUUAACCCUUUCACUAUGGGAAUGCCAAUUUUAAAAUUUAUUUGGCUAGCAUUAGACUAUUUUAUUCAGCAGAGAGAGACCCCCAUGUACAAGGAGUUCAUAUAACUACAAUAGUAAAUGCUUGUCCACCAGGCUACUUUAUAGAAUUUGAUAUUUAAUAAAAAAAACAAGGGACAUUCAAGUUAAAAACAAACUAAAUAAGAAGACCAAUGCCAAAAUAGCUAAUAAGUGGUAAAUGGCAAAAUAAUUACAUACUUAAAAUUAAUAAUUAAAUAAAUAUUUAUAAGUACUUACCAUGUUUUAGAUGUCAACUUGGUUUAUCAAGUACAAUAAUAAUCAUGUGCUUGAUUGCUACCAUGUUUACAUUAACACCUCAACAUGGCACCAUUUUUGGUAAUGAUCCCUGAUACUGAUAUUCAACACUUGUCUCCAUGAACUGGUGGUCAUUAGUCUGUACCUUUUUGUAUUAAAGACAGUGUGCUAUUCUUCGGUAAAUCUCACUCUUAGUUUAACUGAAAUGUAUUGUCAGCUGAAGAAACUGAUAAAUGAAUUUUGAUACAUUGUUGUUUUAUUAUAAAAUUAAAUUAUAAUUCUAUUGAAAUGUGUUUAAAUCAACCUAGAUCUUACCCAUAAGUUACUACAGUAUUUGUUCUUCUAUAGACUAGACAGAUCAAUAUAUUGGAUGUUGCUUGACGCAGGUAAUAGUGUACGAAAAAGUGCACAGGUUUUUAUACAGUCAGUUCUCGUGUAAUGCCGUAGUUGUGUUUUUAUAAUACAUGUUUUAGUUCCAUAAUAUCAUUCAUUAAUCGAAAAAAAAAUAUGAAAAGGGGGAAGAUGCUUUUUAAAGUGUGUUAGUCUACAUUGCUAGGUGAUAGAAAACAGUGCCAUGGAGGAGGGUGGAGAAUUAAAAUUAUGAAAUAAUACGUAGCAGAAUGUGUCACUUAAAUGCUUUUAAUGAUAAAACUUUUUAAAUAAAAAUUUUAACCUUAAAUAAUAUAAAAAACUUGUUAAAACGUUUUAACAUUCACCACAAAAAGCGAAGGCUGCUGCUUGGGACUUGUGGUAGUGGAAGAGAAGGUAAAGUUAAUCUGAAGACAGAUUCAAGAGUACUGUACACUACAUGUAAUAGUUGUUUUUUCACUUCACUUCCACUAACCAGAAUGUUUCACACCCAAUUAAUAACAAUAAAGUGGAUACUAAGGUAAAGUACAGUCUGCAAUAACACGUCCGAUAUGCAUGGAAAAUAAACAAAGACUGAAAUGCGUGGGCAGCAUCCCGCCUUUUGUGUUGCUAUGCCGAGGCAGCCACGUAACCAGUUAUUCCUACCAGAGUAACAUACAGUAGUUACAUUUACUCAAUUGCGUUAUAUCUAAUUCGCAUCUGUGUUGUUAAAAAUGUGUUCUUAACACAUUCAUCACGUUAUAAUAACACACGUUUUCGGAGAACUGACUGGUUGGGAAAACAUUUUACAUCCAUCCUAAACUUACAACCAUUUGGUCUAAAACUUUAAUUCCUAUUCUUUGAUAAAAAUUUACCACUCGACCAAAUGCCAGUGCAACCAUUAAAAGUUUUCCAAGUACAGUACUGUACAACUGUAUAUAAUAUUAAACCCUUCUUCUAAUAACAUAAACCUUCCUAACUUAUCGAGCUGGAGCCAGGAUCUUCCUUGUCUAGGUUCCAAGAUGAUCCUUAGAAACCAAAAACCAUUUCCAAUGACCAAGUGAUUGGCAAUUAUCUUAAAGGUAGUCUUAACCCUUUGGAUGUGCUGUGCAGCUGCAGUUGAAUGACACAUGAAUAUAAUCAAAUGCAGGGUUUUAAUUUUCUGUACGUCUAUCAAGAAAUGCACCCCCAACAACCCCUUCCCUCCAGGCAGACGAAUGUCUGUCGCUGUUGUCAUACAGUGAUGACUUCACUCAUAAACAAUAACUCGCUCAGAUAAUUGCCAGCACCUACACUGAUACACUUACAGUAUUUGCUUCUCAUUUUAAUAUUGUAAGGUGAUGCUUUGUAAGUGUAUGUCAUUUAUCAUAAUAUACAUAAAUAAAGGUAUAAA
Molecule: RNA transcript, 5770 nt
Organism: Homarus americanus (American lobster)
Lineage: Eukaryota; Metazoa; Arthropoda; Malacostraca; Decapoda; Nephropidae
Exons: 6
Source: RefSeq, a predicted model, not a curated record